GUUGGAGGUUGGAGGUUGUUGAUUGAAAAACUACCCACUAGAGAGUUUUAUUUAAUAAAGUUGUCAUUACAAGCAUUCAUGAGAAAUGUUGUGUAUUUUGCUUCAAGGAGGUGGAAGACGUCAACCACGUUUUCUUAAGAUAUGGAGUUUUAUUUUCAAGUGGAUGGGAACAGAGGCCUUACCCUUUGUUGAUAUUUCCAACAUGUAUCAACAAUAAAUGUUUAUCCUACUUUUUUAUUCAUAUUCAUCGAACAACAAACCUUUGUUGUUAGUUUAUCUACUCUCUUGAAUUCAACACUAACUUUUCUUCACAAUAGCCAUUAAUGCAUGCACAUAGAAAAAGUUCAUGCGGUACAAAUAUUUGUGGACAAUCAUUCAAAAUCAAGAGAGAAGAAGACAAUCUAAUUUCAUUUCAUGACUAAUUAACAAUUUAGAGUACAAAAUCAAAGUUGCAAAU
This 457-nucleotide long non-coding RNA is filed under the name Trifolium pratense (red clover). RNAcentral describes it as "long non-coding RNA (TPRA_LNC005242)". The record is from RNAcentral. Lineage: Eukaryota; Viridiplantae; Streptophyta; Magnoliopsida; Fabales; Fabaceae.